CGUUAAUAUGCAAUUUCAAUCUUGCAACCAAACAUCACUGAAAGAGAAUUUAAGUAUCAUUUUUACUGGCGAGUAUAGAAGAAUACCACCUCAUGAGAAGCCACUUGAGUGCAUUGUAUGUAUCAGAUGCAGACUGAAUGAAACAGAAAAGUGCAACACAAC
This is a long non-coding RNA of Rhincodon typus (whale shark), 162 nucleotides long. RefSeq lists it as uncharacterized. The record is from RefSeq and is a predicted model, not a curated record. The transcript is spliced from 3 exons. NCBI's taxonomy places the organism in Eukaryota, Metazoa, Chordata, Chondrichthyes, Orectolobiformes, Rhincodontidae.